Molecule: unclassified non-coding RNA, 251 nt
Filed under: Cercozoa sp.
Lineage: Eukaryota; Cercozoa
Description: partial contains small subunit ribosomal RNA, internal transcribed spacer 1, and 5.8S ribosomal RNA
Rfam family: Eukaryotic small subunit ribosomal RNA (bases 1-47)
Source: RNAcentral
AAAGUCGUAACAAGGUUUCCGUAGGUGAACCUGCGGAAGGAUCAUUAACACGAAACUCCACGUUUCAUACCAAACCUGUGGUCUUGUAAACUUUCAAGUUCUCUUUAUUGCAGAACUUUUUUUUAUAUUACAAAAUACCCCUUGUAUCAUCUAUUGACUGAACCAAUUGGAAGUUUGAGUACCCUAGGGCGCUCGCUUCUAAGAUAUUACGAAACUCUGAACAACUCUAAGCAACGGAUAUCUUGGUUCUC